RNAcentral lists this unclassified non-coding RNA (206 nucleotides) under Hevea brasiliensis (rubber tree). Lineage: Eukaryota; Viridiplantae; Streptophyta; Magnoliopsida; Malpighiales; Euphorbiaceae. The record is from RNAcentral.
AGGUCGAAGUCGUAAAUGUGGAGGAAUGCUUGUUAUCGAAGGGCGUGCAAAGGAUACGAUAGUUCUUAGUACAGGUGAAAAUGUUGAACCCUCAGAACUCGAGGAAGCUGCUAUGAGAAGUCGUGUGAUCCACCAGAUUAUGGUUGUUGGUCAGGAUCAAAGGCGACUUGGUGCUCUCAUUGUUCUAAACAAAGAAGAACUUGUGG